CGCGGCCUAUCAGCUUGUUGGUGAGGUAACGGCUCACCAAGGCGACGACGGGUAGCUGUUCUGAGAGGAAGAUCAGCCACACUGGGACUGAGACACGGCCCAGACUCCUACGGGAGGCAGCAGUGGGGAAUCUUGCGCAAUGGGCGAAAGCCUGACGCAGCAACGCCGCGUGCGGGAAGACGGCCUUCGGGUUGUAAACCGCUUUCAGCAGGGACGAAAUUGACGGUACCUGCAGAAGAAGCCCCGGCCAACUACGUGCCAGCAGCCGCGGUAAGACGUAGGGGGCGAGCGUUGUCCGGAAUCAUUGGGCGUAAAGGGCUCCUAGGCGGUUCAGUAAGUCGACUGUGAAAAUCCAAGGCUCAACCUUGGGACGCCAUCCGAUACUGCUGUGGCUUGAGUCUGGUAGGGGAACACGGAAUUCCUGGUGUAGCGGUGAAAUGCGCAGAUAUCAGGAGGAACACCGAUGGCGAAGGCAGUGUUCUGGGCCAGUACUGACGCUGAGGAGCGAAAGCGUGGGUAGCAAACAGGCUUAGAUACCCUGGUAGUCCACGCCGUAAACGUUGGGCACUAGGUGUGGGGACCUAUCGACGGUUUCCGUGCCGCAGCUAACGCAUUAAGUGCCCCGCCUGGGGAGUACGG
This 639-nucleotide ribosomal RNA is filed under the name uncultured Actinomycetes bacterium. RNAcentral describes it as "bacterial SSU rRNA". It matches the Rfam family "Bacterial small subunit ribosomal RNA", at positions 232 to 885 of the family's 1533-position model. The record is from RNAcentral. Lineage: Bacteria; Bacillati; Actinomycetota; Actinomycetes.